RNAcentral lists this ribosomal RNA (520 nucleotides) under uncultured Glomus. RNAcentral describes it as "SSU rRNA". It matches the Rfam family "Eukaryotic small subunit ribosomal RNA", at positions 569 to 1091 of the family's 1831-position model. Lineage: Eukaryota; Fungi; Glomeromycota; Glomeromycetes; Glomerales; Glomeraceae. The record is from RNAcentral.
AGCAGCCGCGGUAAUUCCAGCUCCAAUAGCGUAUAUUAAAGUUGCUGCAGUUAAAAAGCUCGUAGUUGAAUUUCGGGACCGAUAUAUCGGUCGUGCCUCGGUACGUACUGGUAUUUUCGGUUUCUACCUUCUGAUGAACCUUGAUGUCACUAAUUUGGUGUCUUGGGGAAUCAGGACUGUUACUUUGAAAAAAUUAGAGUGUUUAAAGCAGGCUCACGCUUGAAUACAUUAGCAUGGAAUAAUGAAAUAGGACGUUUGAUUCUAUUUUGUUGGUUUCUAGGAUCGACGUAAUGAUUAAUAGGGAUAGUUGGGGGCAUUAGUAUUCAAUUGUCAGAGGUGAAAUUCUUGGAUUUAUUGAAGACUAACUACUGCGAAAGCAUUUGCCAAGGAUGUUUUCAUUAAUCAAGAACGAAAGUUAGGGGAUCGAAGACGAUCAGAUACCGUCGUAGUCUUAACCAUAAACUAUGCCGACUAGGGAUCGGAUGAUGUUAAUUUUUAAUGUACUCAUUCGGCGCCUUAC